This 253-nucleotide ribosomal RNA is filed under the name uncultured bacterium. RNAcentral's name for it is "partial 16S ribosomal RNA". It matches the Rfam family "Bacterial small subunit ribosomal RNA", at positions 524 to 776 of the family's 1533-position model. The record is from RNAcentral.
UACGAAGGGUGCAAGCGUUAAUCGGAAUUACUGGGCGUAAAGCGCGCGUAGGCGGUUUGAUAAGUGUGAUGUGAAAUCCCCGGGCUCAACCUGGGAACUGCAUCACAUACUGUCAGGCUAGAGUACGGUAGAGGGGGGUAGAAUUCCACGUGUAGCGGUGAAAUGCGUAGAGAUGUGGAGGAAUACCAGUGGCGAAGGCGGCCCCCUGGAUCGAUACUGACGCUGAGGUGCGAAAGCGUGGGGAGCAAACAGG